AGUUCCCUGCUUUGCUCGUGAUGGAUUUGGAGGCUCGCUUGAGCCAACAUUUCCGACAAGCGAAUCGCGAGGCCGCGCCGUGUGCAUGCCUCCGCCGUGAGGAAGCCUGACGCGCGGCCGACAAAAGCGGUUCCACCUGCUUCACGCAGGUUCAUGCGACCUCCCCACACGGCAAAGCGGGGCCUUU
RNAcentral lists this non-coding RNA (187 nucleotides) under Acidobacteriota bacterium. Its description in RNAcentral is "Acidobacteria bacterium 6S RNA". It matches the Rfam family "6S / SsrS RNA". From Rfam's summary of the family: E. coli 6S RNA was the first non coding RNA to be sequenced, but its function was unknown until recently. The record is from RNAcentral. Lineage: Bacteria; Pseudomonadati; Acidobacteriota.